Molecule: ribosomal RNA, 1100 nt
Filed under: Enterobacteriaceae bacterium M407
Lineage: Bacteria; Pseudomonadati; Pseudomonadota; Gammaproteobacteria; Enterobacterales; Enterobacteriaceae
Description: bacterial SSU rRNA
Rfam family: Bacterial small subunit ribosomal RNA
Source: RNAcentral
AUUGAACGCUGGCGGCAGGCCUAACACAUGCAAGUCGAACGGUAGCACAGAGGAGCUUGCUCCUCGGGUGACGAGUGGCGGACGGGUGAGUAAUGUCUGGGAAACUGCCCGAUGGAGGGGGAUAACUACUGGAAACGGUAGCUAAUACCGCAUAACGUCGCAAGACCAAAGAGGGGGACCUUCGGGCCUCUUGCCAUCGGAUGUGCCCAGAUGGGAUUAGCUAGUAGGUGGGGUAAUGGCUCACCUAGGCGACGAUCCCUAGCUGGUCUGAGAGGAUGACCAGCCACACUGGAACUGAGACACGGUCCAGACUCCUACGGGAGGCAGCAGUGGGGAAUAUUGCACAAUGGGCGCAAGCCUGAUGCAGCCAUGCCGCGUGUGUGAAGAAGGCCUUCGGGUUGUAAAGCACUUUCAGCGGGGAGGAAGGCAAUACGGUUAAUAACCGUGUUGAUUGACGUUACCCGCAGAAGAAGCACCGGCUAACUCCGUGCCAGCAGCCGCGGUAAUACGGAGGGUGCAAGCGUUAAUCGGAAUUACUGGGCGUAAAGCGCACGCAGGCGGUCUGUCAAGUCGGAUGUGAAAUCCCCGGGCUCAACCUGGGAACUGCAUUCGAAACUGGCAGGCUUGAGUCUUGUAGAGGGGGGUAGAAUUCCAGGUGUAGCGGUGAAAUGCGUAGAGAUCUGGAGGAAUACCGGUGGCGAAGGCGGCCCCCUGGACAAAGACUGACGCUCAGGUGCGAAAGCGUGGGGAGCAAACAGGAUUAGAUACCCUGGUAGUCCACGCCGUAAACGAUGUCGACUUGGAGGUUGUGCCCUUGAGGCGUGGCUUCCGGAGCUAACGCGUUAAGUCGACCGCCUGGGGAGUACGGCCGCAAGGUUAAAACUCAAAUGAAUUGACGGGGGCCCGCACAAGCGGUGGAGCAUGUGGUUUAAUUCGAUGCAACGCGAAGAACCUUACCUGGUCUUGACAUCCACGGAAUUCGGCAGAGAUGCCUUAGUGCCUUCGGGAACCGUGAGACAGGUGCUGCAUGGCUGUCGUCAGCUCGUGUUGUGAAAUGUUGGGUUAAGUCCCGCAACGAGCGCAACCCUUAUCCUUUGUUG